RNAcentral lists this ribosomal RNA (301 nucleotides) under uncultured bacterium. RNAcentral describes it as "partial 16S ribosomal RNA". It matches the Rfam family "Bacterial small subunit ribosomal RNA", at positions 509 to 807 of the family's 1533-position model. The record is from RNAcentral.
CAGCAGCCGCGGUAAUACGAAGGGUGCAAGCGUUAAUCGGAAUUACUGGGCGUAAAGCGUGCGUAGGCGGUGAGUUAAGUCUGCUGUGAAAUCCCCGGGCUCAACCUGGGAAUGGCAGUGGAUACUGGCUCGCUAGAGUGUGUCAGAGGAUGGUGGAAUUCCCGGUGUAGCGGUGAAAUGCGUAGAUAUCGGGAGGAACAUCAGUGGCGAAGGCGGCCAUCUGGGACAACACUGACGCUGAGGCACGAAAGCGUGGGGAGCAAACAGGAUUAGAUACCCCCGUAGUCCCUGUCUCUUAUAC